RNAcentral lists this ribosomal RNA (429 nucleotides) under Verrucomicrobiota bacterium. Its description in RNAcentral is "Verrucomicrobia bacterium partial 16S ribosomal RNA". It matches the Rfam family "Bacterial small subunit ribosomal RNA", at positions 355 to 776 of the family's 1533-position model. Lineage: Bacteria; Pseudomonadati; Verrucomicrobiota. The record is from RNAcentral.
UAGGGAAUCUUCCGCAAUGGACGAAAGUCUGACGGAGCAACGCCGCGUGAGUGAAGAAGGAUUUCGGUUCGUAAAACUCUGUUGUUAGGGAAGAAAAAAUGUAUAGUAACUAUAUACAAAAGAGACGGUACCUAACCAGAAAGCCACGGCUAACUACGUGCCAGCAGCCGCGGUAAUACGUAGGUGGCAAGCGUUGUCCGGAAUUAUUGGGCGUAAAGCGCGCGCAGGUGGUUUAGAAAGUCUGAUGUGAAAGCCCACGGCUCAACCGUGGAGGGUCAUUGGAAACUAAUAAACUUAAGUGCAGGAGAGAAAAGUGGAAUUCCUAGUGUAGCGGUGAAAUGCGUAGAGAUUAGGAGGAACACCGGUGGCGAAAGCGGCUUUUUGGCCUGCAACUGACACUGAGGCGCGAAAGCGUGGGGAGCAAACAGG